This 255-nucleotide ribosomal RNA is filed under the name Salmonella enterica subsp. enterica serovar Meleagridis. Its description in RNAcentral is "partial 23S ribosomal RNA". It matches the Rfam family "Bacterial large subunit ribosomal RNA", at positions 541 to 796 of the family's 2925-position model. RNAcentral also lists the same sequence under 2 other names. Lineage: Bacteria; Pseudomonadati; Pseudomonadota; Gammaproteobacteria; Enterobacterales; Enterobacteriaceae. The record is from RNAcentral.
AAAAAGAACCUGAAACCGUGUACGUACAAGCAGUGGGAGCACAGGUUUACCUGUGUGACUGCGUACCUUUUGUAUAAUGGGUCAGCGACUUAUAUUCUGUAGCAAGGUUAACCGAAUAGGGGAGCCGCAGGGAAACCGAGUCUUAAUUGGGCGUUAAGUUGCAGGGUAUAGACCCGAAACCCGGUGAUCUAGCCAUGGGCAGGUUGAAGGUUGGGUAACACUAACUGGAGGACCGAACCGACUAAUGUUGAAAAA